Small nuclear RNA from Lepisosteus oculatus (spotted gar), 142 nucleotides. Its record names the gene U12. It matches the Rfam family "U12 minor spliceosomal RNA". From Rfam's summary of the family: Although the U12 sequence is very divergent from that of U2, the two are functionally analogous. NCBI's taxonomy places the organism in Eukaryota, Metazoa, Chordata, Actinopteri, Semionotiformes, Lepisosteidae. The record is from Ensembl.
AUUCCUUAAAGUAAUGAGUAAGGAAAAUAACGACCCAGGUUCUCGCCAUGACAAGCGAGAAUAAUUUUUGAACAGGUAGAGGUCGGAGCCACGAGUUGACCCACCUACUUUGCAGGAUGCUGGCUUUGACUUGAUUUGCCCC